Molecule: ribosomal RNA, 497 nt
Filed under: uncultured bacterium
Lineage: Bacteria
Description: partial 16S ribosomal RNA
Rfam family: Bacterial small subunit ribosomal RNA
Source: RNAcentral
GACGAACGCUGGCGGCGUGCCUAAUACAUGCAAGUUGAGCGCUGAAGGUUGGUACUUGUACCAACUGGAUGAGCAGCGAACGGGUGAGUAACGCGUGGGGAAUCUGCCUUUGAGCGGGGGACAACAUUUGGAAACGAAUGCUAAUACCGCAUAAAAACUUUAAACACAAGUUUUAAGUUUGAAAGAUGCAAUUGCAUCACUCAAAGAUGAUCCCGCGUUGUAUUAGCGAGUUGGUGAGGUAAAGGCUCACCAAGGCGAUGAGACAUAGCCGAACUGAGAGGGUGAUCGGCCACAUUGGGAAUGAGACACGGCCCAAAGUCCUACGGGAGGCAGCAGGAGGGAAACUUCGGCAAAGGGCGAAAGUCUGACCGAGCAACGCCGCGUGAGUGAAGAAGGUUUUCGGAUCGUAAAACUCUGUUGGUAGAGAAGAACGUUGGUGAGAGUGGAAAGCUCAUCAAGUGACGGUAACUACCCAGAAAGGGACGGCUAACUACGUG